CCUACGGGCGGCAGCAGUGAGGAAUAUUGGUCAAUGGACGAGAGUCUGAACCAGCCAAGUAGCGUGAAGGAUGACUGCCCUAUGGGUUGUAAACUUCUUUUAUAUGGGAAUAAAACGUUCCACGUGUGGGAUUUUGUAUGUACCAUAUGAAUAAGGAUCGGCUAACUCCGUGCCAGCAGCCGCGGUAAUACGGAGGAUCCGAGCGUUAUCCGGAUUUAUUGGGUUUAAAGGGAGCGUAGGUGGAUUGUUAAGUCAGUUGUGAAAGUUUGCGGCUCAACCGUAAAAUUGCAGUUGAAACUGGCAGUCUUGAGUACAGUAGAGGUGUGCGGAAUUCGUGGUGUAGCGGUGAAAUGCUUAGAUAUCACGAAGAACUCCGAUUGCGAAGGCAGUUCACUGGACUGCAACUGACACUGAUGCUCGAAAGUGUGGGUAUCAAACAGGAUUAGAUACCCCUGUAGUC
RNAcentral lists this ribosomal RNA (460 nucleotides) under uncultured bacterium. RNAcentral's name for it is "partial 16S ribosomal RNA". It matches the Rfam family "Bacterial small subunit ribosomal RNA", at positions 338 to 795 of the family's 1533-position model. The record is from RNAcentral.